AUGGCGCAGGGCACCUUUGCUAGUCCUUACGCUUAAACUGCUCAACCGCGGAGGUGAGAAAAAACGGCUUUGGCCGAGGGGGUGCGGCGGCCUCCCGUCUCCCUUACGGCUGGAAAAGUUGAUGCUGGCGUACUGGCCCUGCAGAUUCUAUGCUGACUCCAUUUGACCGAGAGGGCUAGUCGGCCUCCUUCUCCCUUACGGCUGGAAAAGAUUUAUUGCUAAAAAGAAAAAGGAGAGUCGAAAUACGAGUUGUCACCGACCAGAAACGUAAAUAUAAAAUAUAAAAAUUACAAUUGCAGCCAAAACGAGUGCCCCAGUAUUAAGUAAGCUAUUAAGACUCGACUGCAUGUUCAUGUUUUACUCCUGCUGCUCUCGCUAGCAAAGUUGACCGAGACAACAAAGUAAAGCUAGUUUUCGGAUAUGAGUUUUCCAUCCAGAUGGAGGAUCACUAACAGGAGCGAGGGAAGACUCCGGAAUCCACUCUGGCUGGAAUCCGGUGGCUAUACAGUGUUUACAGGUACAGUACAUUAUUUUGAGGGCAGGCGGUCAACACUGGGGGAAGAAAAGAAGCAGAAGUCCUUCCAAGAAGGAGCUGCAGUGAGGACACAGCCUGGUCACUGAGGAUGAGAACAUCAAAAUGACCAAAGUAGCUGAGCAGAUUUCAUCUCAAGACACAUAUAUAUAGCUGUCCACAGGUGCUGCCACCUGGUACCUGUAACAGUUUUCUGGGGGCUCGUCCGGGAUCAGUCCUGCCUUUGUGGCUGGGAGCUGAUCCAGUGAUACCGGUACUUUGGGCCAAGAGUGGCAAGAAAACACCAACAACUCCAGUCUGCUGGUUGUUAUCUACACCUCCUGCUGCUGCCUGACAGAGAAUAGAUGCUACUGAUUGUGCAGGAAAUGCAUUGGCCAUGUGUCACAACUAGUGUAAUGGACAAGAAGUAAGGAAAAGGACAAAUAAGGACUGCUUGGUGCUGCUUGGUGCUCGGACCAUCGCCCAUCAAGGCAAAAACUGUACGAAAGCUGACAUUGUGUGACCCACUGCAAGGGAUAGGGAAGCAACCAUGGCGGAAGGUGAGAGGAGGAGCUUGGUGUGGGCCAUCAAGAAAGACCUUCUCACCCUCUCUGCUGAUGAACUGUUCCAGAUCGCCAAAUCUCUGGGUCCAGUGCCAGGAGUGGAUCAGUCUUGCCUUAAGUCAGGGGAUGAAGACAGCUGCUUCGAGUACAUCAGUGGUUUCAUGUGCAGUAAGGCUUUAUUAGAGUCAGAAGAUCAGGGCAUGUCACACUUAUUGUCACUUAAAGAUGUUGUUGAUGCUGUUACCCAGGGUCAUGUUUCUGAUUUGCAGAUACAGGCUGCCACUGGUAAUGAUUCAUGUGAUCUAUGUCCAAAUGCUCAGCCUCAUGAUGUCAGUGUUGAAGUGAGUCCAACUAAUGCCAUGUUUUUAGAAGAUGGUCAUAAUAGUGGUACAGAAGUAACUGACAGUGUGACCCAGAAUACCAGCUCUACUGCUGUUUCCCAACAUGAUGUAGAACUACAAAAAAUACUCUUCAGUUACGAAGAGCUCUCUAAGAAAAUUAAGCAUGCCCACAUCAGGUUCUCAACUCACUUCUCAGACACCAUCACAGGCUCAUUGUAGAAGCACACCACACAAUGACCGCUUAGUUGAAACUCACGCACCCAUGAGACAUGACAAGGUGGUGUCCCUAAGAGAGUUGUCUUACCUCCAUCGCAGGGAGUUUAAGAUUCACGGGGGCCAGAUUGGAGACCAGGGAUCAGACAUCAGUUAUAACAGCAUCUGCCGCCAGAUUGAAGAGGGUCUCAAAGAACAGUUUAAUGAUGCCGAAAUUGUGAGGGCUGUCAUGAGAGUUAUCAAACCUGGUAAUUUCAAAGACAUGCUAAUGAACAAGGAUGAACUGACAGUAGAGGAGCUUAAAGACUUCCUCCAUUCUCACCUUGGUGAGCAAAACAACACAGAACUUUUCCAGGAACUCAUGUGCACCAAACAAAGUGACAGUGAGACACCACAACAGUUUCUGUAUCGAGUCAUAGGUCUCAAACAAAAGAUCUUGCUCACCUCAAAGCAUACCAACUCAGAUGUAAAGUAUUCAUCCAGCACAGUUCAGGAUGUAUUUCUUCAUACUGUGUAUCAAGGACUGGGCCACAAACAUAGUCACAUUCGUAGAGAGUUAAAGCCACUCCUUGCAGAUGCCGAUGUCACAGAUGAGGCUAUCCUUAAACAAAUGAAGAAAGUAAUGAGUGAUGAAAGUGAAAGACAGCGUCGUCUAGGAUCAGUCACCCGUCAGAGAAACACCAAUGUGCACAGCACACAAGUUGAGAUUAAUGGUACGCAGUGUCCUGUAUUGAAAGAGGAAAAUGCAGGAAAAAGACCUAAGGCGUAUAUGAUCCAGCAGCUGUCAGAGAAAGUCGAAAAACUUGCAAGCAUUGUUGAACAAAUGACACAGUCACUGCAAACAACAGCCGAACAAAGCAGCCAGUACAGGAAAAUCAAAACCGAUCACCACAGAGAAAGAAAGUAUGGCUGUGAAAAGUGCAUAGAACAAGACCGUCCCGAUUGUCCUCACUGUUUUCACUGCGGUGAGGAAGGCCACCACGCUGUAUGAAGAAAACAAUACGUCAGGGAAACGGGAGCCGGUCCCUGUCACGGGACAAACAGUGACCGUGUCCCACUCUCCGUCCCAAUCUGACAUAUGUAGUACCAGUGAGACUGUUGCUGUAAGUUUGGCAAAAUGUGACGCUGACACCAAACAUGAUGUAGUGCCAACCCAGAGACAGAAUAACCAAGAAAAUAAAUCUGCUAUACUUCUUGGGGGCUCACCCAACAGUAAAAGUGAAAAAUUAGCCAAACUAAUUGGAAGAAAAGCUCUCACCCAGUGCCAUCUAAAUGGUUUAGCAGUUAAUGCUUUGUUAGACACGGGAGCUCAAGUGAGCAUGAUUGACAGAGAGUGGAGAAAUAAAUACCUACCGGAUACACCUAUAAGGUCACUUGAUGAAAUCAUUGAUAAUGAAGAAGAGUUAAAAGUCCAUGCUGUGAAUGGUGACACUCUCCAAUUUGAUGGCUGGGUGCCAAUCACAGUUAAUUUGAGAGGGAAUGAAGACCCUAAUUUGUCAAUAACUGUGCCUUUUCUUGUAAGCAGUUUUGUUUUGGAGAGGCCACUGCUGGGCUUCAAUGUGCUGGAGGAGCUGGUGCAGGAACAACCAGGACGGUUCAUGCCGACUCUUGUCACCCUGCUUUGCAAUGCCAUGUCAGUACCAGUAGAAAAGGCAGAGCUCCUGGUAAACCUCAUCAAGGCUGAUGAAGCUCCUGCACAAUGUGGACGUCUGCGGACUGGCAGAUCUACACACAGCAGAACUUCAGAUGGUCUUCAUACACCAGGACUCCUGUGCUGAGCUGUGGAUUCUGCCACUUUGUUGUCAUGUGAUGAGGGCCGAGUGCUGGCUGACACGUUCAUUGCGGCAUUGAAACCGAAGAUUCUGCAUGAAAGGAACACUGGACCCUCAGGAAUUUCUGUAUUCGUGGGAUACGGGGCACAGAUUACAGGAAAUGUGAGAUACCCACUUGUUGAGGCAUGCCAACCUCACUUCUUGAGAAACGUGUUGUUUCUCUUCACAUCGUUUUUCAGAAUGUAAAACUUCUGGAAGUAUGUUUUCUUUUCUUUCUUUUUGUUUUUUUCCCCUUGGCACUGACAAUUGAAACCGGGUGUUAAAUAGGUGUAAUAUACAAAUUUCAACUUGCAGUUUUUUCUGGCUCUGCUUCACAUGAAAUUACAUCUGAAUGAACUAAUAAGACCUGCGAUUAUCCAAAGUUUCCCAUCAAGUGGAUGAGGUGCUGUCAUGUGGUUUUCUCUCAAAACAUUUAAAGAUUAUUAAGGAUUUUUGCUCAAAUAGACUUACUGUAAUCCAAUUAUAGUUUAAACUGUGUCCAAUCUACACAUAUCUCUCUCACCCCCGCCUGUAGGAUGAAGAUAUGCUGAACACUCCUCAUUGAUAAAGAGGCGUGUUAACAGCUCCUCGAUCCCCUCAAACCUGAGUCUGUCUGUCGUUUGUUUCUUCUAUGUUAAGCAAAAGAAUGUUUGUGGGUUGUCCAAACAGGUUACACCAUCACACGCAAUCCUUUCACUUUAAUUUGUAGGUGUUUUUGAAAAGUUACAGAAAUGCGCAGUGUGCCCGCUACGUGUCCCUGAGGCACCCCACCGUUCACACCAUGGUGCUGGGUGAUUUGUUGUGAUGUUAUUUUGUGCCAGUAAAUAACUAAAUUGUAUCAGUUCUGAAUACAUCUUAUUUAUUUAAGACAAUGCAUCCUAAUGAGUGAAUAAGAAUAGUUUUUCUUUUUAGCUUUUUAUUUUUAAACUCAGCUCAGAAGAAGAUUACAACAACAGGAAUCAUGUUACAUGUAAUAGAAAGAUUUUAUUCGUCAGAUUAAAACCUCUAUAACGCUAUUUUAAAAUGA
Molecule: RNA transcript, 4466 nt
Organism: Pelmatolapia mariae (spotted tilapia)
Lineage: Eukaryota; Metazoa; Chordata; Actinopteri; Cichliformes; Cichlidae
Exons: 5
Source: RefSeq, a predicted model, not a curated record